RNAcentral lists this ribosomal RNA (456 nucleotides) under Salmonella enterica. RNAcentral describes it as "partial 23S ribosomal RNA". It matches the Rfam family "Bacterial large subunit ribosomal RNA", at positions 2211 to 2666 of the family's 2925-position model. Lineage: Bacteria; Pseudomonadati; Pseudomonadota; Gammaproteobacteria; Enterobacterales; Enterobacteriaceae. The record is from RNAcentral.
UGUUUGAUGUUCUAACGUGGACCCGUGAUCCGGGUUGCGGACAGUGUCUGGUGGGUAGUUUGACUGGGGCGGUCUCCUCCUAAAGAGUAACGGAGGAGCACGAAGGUUGGCUAAUCCUGGUCGGACAUCAGGAGGUUAGUGCAAUGGCAUAAGCCAGCUUGACUGCGAGCGUGACGGCGCGAGCAGGUGCGAAAGCAGGUCAUAGUGAUCCGGUGGUUCUGAAUGGAAGGGCCAUCGCUCAACGGAUAAAAGGUACUCCGGGGAUAACAGGCUGAUACCGCCCAAGAGUUCAUAUCGACGGCGGUGUUUGGCACCUCGAUGUCGGCUCAUCACAUCCUGGGGCUGAAGUAGGUCCCAAGGGUAUGGCUGUUCGCCAUUUAAAGUGGUACGCGAGCUGGGUUUAGAACGUCGUGAGACAGUUCGGUCCCUAUCUGCCGUGGGCGCUGGAGAACUGAG